This 460-nucleotide ribosomal RNA is filed under the name uncultured bacterium. Its description in RNAcentral is "partial 16S ribosomal RNA". It matches the Rfam family "Bacterial small subunit ribosomal RNA", at positions 338 to 795 of the family's 1533-position model. The record is from RNAcentral.
CCUACGGGUGGCAGCAGUGAGGAAUAUUGGUCAAUGGACGAGAGUCUGAACCAGCCAAGUAGCGUGAAGGAUGACUGCCCUAUGGGUUGUAAACUUCUUUUAUAUGGGAAUAAAAUGUUCCACGUGUGGGAUUUUGUAUGUACCAUAUGAAUAAGGAUCGGCUAACUCCGUGCCAGCAGCCGCGGUAAUACGGAGGAUCCGAGCGUUAUCCGGAUUUAUUGGGUUUAAAGGGAGCGUAGGUGGAUGGUUAAGUCAGUUGUGAAAGUUUGCGGCUAAACCGUAAAAUUGCAGUUGAAACUGGCAGUCUUGAGUACAGUAGAGGUGGGCGGAAUUCGUGGUGUAGCGGUGAAAUGCUUAGAUAUCACGAAGAACUCCGAUUGCGAAGGCAGUUCACUGGACUGCAACUGACACUGAGGCUCGAAAGUGUGGGUAUCAAACAGGAUUAGAUACCCGUGUAGUC